AAUGAAUUAGGAGUGGGGUGAGGUAUUUAUUGACUUCUUUUGUAUUUAAAUCAUCGAUUUAGUCCGACUAGAAAUCGUCGAUUUAAUUCCGUUUGAAAUCGCCGGUUCACAGUUCUUCAAAAGAUAAGCCUGAACCAAACUGUAAAAGAGCAUUUUCAAUCUAGUUCGAAGUCAAUUUUGAUGUUGAUCGAUUUCAGUCUGAUUUUGACCAAAUUGAUUUUAAUUUGGUCUUGGUUCGAAACCAAACUAUGACCACCCGAAG
This 262-nucleotide unclassified non-coding RNA is filed under the name Hevea brasiliensis (rubber tree). The record is from RNAcentral. Lineage: Eukaryota; Viridiplantae; Streptophyta; Magnoliopsida; Malpighiales; Euphorbiaceae.